AGUGCUGUGGUUUAGUUGGUUAAAUCAGCUGCCUAGUAAACAGGAAAUCCUGAGUUCAAAUCCCAGCAGUGCUU
This 74-nucleotide transfer RNA is filed under the name Lepisosteus oculatus (spotted gar). It matches the Rfam family "tRNA". From Rfam's summary of the family: Transfer RNA (tRNA) molecules are approximately 80 nucleotides in length. Their secondary structure includes four short double-helical elements and three loops (D, anti-codon, and T loops). The record is from Rfam by way of RNAcentral. Lineage: Eukaryota; Metazoa; Chordata; Actinopteri; Semionotiformes; Lepisosteidae.